Esox lucius (northern pike) is the source of this 2575-nucleotide long non-coding RNA. Lineage: Eukaryota; Metazoa; Chordata; Actinopteri; Esociformes; Esocidae. The record is from Ensembl.
AUUGUAUAUACUUGUAAAAUGAAACAAAAGAGGAUCAAAUGAAAUAAAAACCCAUUUGAAGACUUAUACAGAUUAGCUAGGGACUGUAAUUGUACACAUUUAUGUAAAAUCCUGAAAAGAUGCAAUUGAGCUGCAUAUUUACUAUUCUGUUCAUGUUCUUCAAGAUUGGUUGUAUCUUUUUUUUGCUGUGUGGGUGAGCAGGCUGCUAUUGGUUCUUAUUGUUGUCGACUGAAGGUUUGUCUGGGCAGAGCUGGUGUCUGAGUGCUGUCCUGUACUACUGAGGGCUCUGUGACCCGGGCACACAGUGACUGAUGUGGCACCUUGUCUGUGUCUGUGGUCUUCUGAACAGCUUCAUCUGUUUCAUGUACUCCUUCGACAGUAGCCAGCCUGUUGCCAAGACAGUGUAAUGCCUAAACCUGGCCUGUAAUGUGCUUUUAAUAUUUUGCCCUCCCCCGCAAAAGUAAUUGGGUGUGGUUUAUGCUGUCAGACAUGCAAGCUAAUGUGUGAAUGGAUGGAUGACCUGAAGUGUGCAGGGUCUCCUUGUAAGAGUGAAUAGGUCCCCUUUUAAUUCACUUUUCCAUAAGGAAUUUGCAGGGGGAGUUUUCCUGACCUGUAGAUUAUGCCUCCCCCAUUCAUACAGAAUCUGACCUCCCCAUGUAAGGUGUGUUGGAUUUCAGACAUGCGAAAGGACAGUUUCUUUGAAAUGUUGAGUGAGGUAGUAUGAUUCUGUCAAGCCAACCUUUAACUGUAGAUUGGGGAGUGGUUGUUGAGUGUUCUGUCAGGCUGUGAGCUGUUGGAUUUGUGGGAUAUGAUCAAGGGAAUUGAGGUUGAGUGAACUGGAACUGUUUACUAUUGGGUACCAUUGUUUUUGUUCAUUGCCAUAGCUGCCGCUGAGUCACCCACCUGCCGUUCCCUUAGUGAUCUGGUUAAGGGAGUCCUCACUCAUGAUGACUGCAUUAAGGAUAUAUAUUUUAUUUUUUUACCUGCUCAUAGUGAAUAGGUCCGGUUCUGUAACAGGAAAUCAUCCCUUAUGGCACUUUUCCAUACAGGAGUUUCCUGAAAAGCUACACGGUUCUUCUGUUUACAUUGACGCAAGAUGUUACCUGUCUGUAAAUGUCCGAUGGCACUGGCAGACGCGGUCGCUUGAGGCCUAAGUCAAGCCACUUGGACUACUGCAUAAUCUAAAGUAACUGUUUAGAUUAUCCAGGGGCUGUUGAUUCUGCUCUUUACACAUCCUCUCUGCUGCCCUGCUUUGGAAACAGUUUCCCCUGUAUAACAGAACAGUCAACAGAGUACCCUGGUGUUACGGUCCAAAAGAAGCAUCAGAUGAAUGUCCUGUUGACUGAAAUCCCAUUCAAACAAUUUCAAAAUCACAACUUAAGUAUGAGGCUGAUCUCUCAACAAUGACUGUAUUGCCUUUUGGUGUGCACAUUUAUUUCAGAGGACCUGUGAUAUAUUAAAUACAGUGCUGCUUUGCCUGUCCUUGAGAGAUAGAAACAUACAUCCCAGAGCGGAAGGCUGCAUGUUCGCUGUGAUGUGAGCUAUUUUUCCACAAGGGGGAGUUGGUCAAGAUGGAAUGCUGUAGGGAAGGGGAAAGAAAUGAUCAUUUGUACCUUUUCUUUUGAAUAAUGUUUUAAUUUUUUCUAUUGCGUCAGUUUAUCCAUCUGUCAAUCAUAUUUAAUCAGUUCCUGCUUUUAAGGCUACAGUGCUCCAUAUAAUUUUAAAUGUCACAUGCAUCUUAGGUGAAAUCCUAUCAUUUUGGAUACUGCCUAAAAAGCAGAAGAGAAAAGGAAAGAAACCUUCAAAGUUCUGAGCAGCAAUAGAAGCUGGUUGUGUGUGUGAGCGUGCUUGCGUGUUUGGACUGGCAUGUCAUGCUAAACUCAACUGGUAUUGCAUUACAUUGGCUGCAAUGAUUUCAAUUCUCAGCUUCUGAGCUGCAUGUGAGAACCAAUGUAAAUAUUGUCAUUUCUACUCUUUAUGUAAUCCUGUUUUUGAAAUGCAAGGUUAUUUAACAAGUCCACCACACCAUGUUGUUGGGUUGUACAUUUGGAAAUCUUCAGUUAAAGCACAAAAUUAAAAAAAUAGAAACAUUGAUGGGGAGGGGUUAAGUGCACAGCACCUGUCAGUGUUUGGGGUUUUUACUCCUAUAAUUGGUCAGGCACAUCUGUAUAAAUGUUUAAAAGGAACAUAUUACUUUAGCCACGAUUAUCCUUUUCCCUGUAAAAUCUAAAAUAAGGCGUCCAUUGUAGUUUCGAAAGAGAAUCUGUAUAUGUAACCUUCAGAUGUAUCCUGACUAUACAACAUAUCUGAUUUGAGAUGUGGGGGGGGGGCAGCAACAUUUUAUGAUCUUCACUUUUUUCCAGACAAUUUUGACAUGUUGAGCUGAAUCAUAAUACCAUGUCUUCAAGGUGGGUGUGAAUGUCGAACUGAAUAUGAAUAACAAUGAUGUUAAUGAUUCUGAUGAUUAAAUAUGAGCGGCUGUAAACUACUACAUGGGAUAUUUUAGACUUAUGCUGUGUAUUAUUGUCUUUGGGUUGGAGAAUAUGAUGAUCAAGAGAAUAAUAAAAAGUCAAAC